This 622-nucleotide ribosomal RNA is filed under the name uncultured archaeon. Its description in RNAcentral is "bacterial SSU rRNA". It matches the Rfam family "Archaeal small subunit ribosomal RNA", at positions 147 to 774 of the family's 1478-position model. The record is from RNAcentral.
UAAUACUCCAUAGAUUAGAGACACUGGAAUGUUCUUUAGUCGAAAGUUCUGGCGCCUUAGGAUGGAUCUGCGGUCGAUUAGGUUGUUGUUGGGGUAACGGCCCAACAAGCCUGUAAUCGAUACGGGUUGUGGGAGCAAGAGCCCGGAGAUGGAAUCUGAGACACGAUUCCAGGCCCUACGGGGCGCAGCAGGCGCGAAAACUUUACAAUGCAGGAAACUGUGAUAAGGGAACUCCGAGUGCCCGUAUACGCGGGCUGUCCAGGUGUUUAAAAAUCAUCUGAAGAAAGGGCCGGGCAAGACCGGUGCCAGCCGCCGCGGUAAUACCGGCGGCUCGAGUGGUGGCCACUAUUAUUGGGCUUAAAGCGUCCGUAGCUGGACCGAUAAGUCUCUUGGGAAAUCCGCCGGCUCAACCGGCGGGCGUCUAAGGGAUACUGUUAGUCUAGGGACCGGGAGAGGUGAGAGGUACUCCGGGGGUAGGAGUGAAAUCCUGUAAUCCCCGGGGGACCACCGAUGGCGAAGGCAUCUCACCAGAACGGCUCCGACAGUGAGGGACGAAAGCUGGGGGAGCGAACCGGAUUAGAUACCCGGGUAUUCCCAGCCGUAAACUAUGCGCGUUAGGUGU